ACGAUGCUGGAACAGCAGCGUCCAAGGUUUGAUAACCAGUAAAAAAAUUCUUCACAAUGGCGCCCUAUGUAAAAGACCGAGCCAGUCCGAUUGAGAUAACUCGAUUUUUCAGUUACUUCCCUUGGCAUUCGCCACUGCGUAGGAGAUUGCUCGUUGAUUUUCAUUGAUAACAUUCUCCUAGCAGAGUUGUCGUUCGUGUUGAUAAAGGUAAAUAUUUAUAGAACAGCAUAUCCUGGGGAAACAGAUUCAAUAAGUGUAUCAGAACGUUAAUUUCAAAUUAGUAAUUUUACAUCCAUUUUAUUUUUAUGGACCAAUGAAACAACUAUAUAUUUUCUCUAUUUUGUUUGAUAUUUGUUCUCGAUUUAGUAAAUAAAUUGCGAAUAAAAACAUGUGAAAUUAACUUUUUACGUGAUCACAAAACUAAAGAAUGCGAACGAUUUGGAACCUGCAAAUUGUAAACGCUGCACUGCUAUGAUCUAUCAUUCAAAAUUCGUCCCAACUGUCGUCAAUCUAAUCUUAUUAGGUAGGAGUGCUGGACACACUCCGGGUCCCAACAUUAUGCAGCCUCAGCGCGGGGGUAACUCAUUACCUAGGAAAAACACAAAUACACACACUGGGUGCAGCCUAGGCGCGUAUAGACUCAAACAAGGCAACAAACUCAAGUGCGGGCACAAUCAUUUAAAAUUUACAUAUUGAAUACGAAAUUCUAACAGAAAUUACACAACCACCUAAGUGUACAUACCAUGUCUGAUAUUUCGUUCGAUUGUUAGAUUUCAGCAAAUACAUGUAUAAGGUCAUUUCGCUAUUAGUUAACUUAUCCAUAUGUUCGUGGGCGAACUCGGAUAGUCAAGUGCUCAUACGAUUGAGCUCACAUGGUCCGGCUAUGUGCUCAUACCUACUUUCGAGAAUCAUCAUGAAUGUAUUGCCAUACUUAAUGAACAAGAAUGUGACCCGCCUCCCAGUUUCGCUCAAUGGGUCAAGUUACCCACGGGUACUACUUCCCCGUACCCCUAAACUUU
Molecule: long non-coding RNA, 1019 nt
Organism: Dreissena polymorpha
Lineage: Eukaryota; Metazoa; Mollusca; Bivalvia; Myida; Dreissenidae
Exons: 2
Source: RefSeq, a predicted model, not a curated record